RNAcentral lists this ribosomal RNA (453 nucleotides) under uncultured organism. RNAcentral's name for it is "partial 16S ribosomal RNA". It matches the Rfam family "Bacterial small subunit ribosomal RNA", at positions 329 to 798 of the family's 1533-position model. The record is from RNAcentral.
ACGUACACUCCUGCGGGAGGCAGCAGUGGGGAAUAUUGGACAAUGGGCGCAAGCCUGAUCCAGCCAUGCCGCGUGAGUGAUGAAGGCCCUAGGGUUGUAAAGCUCUUUCACCGGAGAAGAUAAUGACGGUAUCCGGAGAAGAAGCCCCGGCUAACUUCGUGCCAGCAGCCGCGGUAAUACGAAGGGGGCUAGCGUUGUUCGGAAUUACUGGGCGUAAAGCGCACGUAGGCGGAUCGAUCAGUCAGGGGUGAAAUCCCAGGGCUCAACCCUGGAACUGCCUUUGAUACUGUCGAUCUGGAGUAUGGAAGAGGUGAGUGGAAUUCCGAGUGUAGAGGUGAAAUUCGUAGAUAUUCGGAGGAACACCAGUGGCGAAGGCGGCUCACUGGUCCAUUACUGACGCUGAGGUGCGAAAGCGUGGGGAGCAAACAGGAUUAGAAACCCGAGUAGUCCCAU